RNAcentral lists this ribosomal RNA (468 nucleotides) under uncultured bacterium. RNAcentral's name for it is "partial 16S ribosomal RNA". It matches the Rfam family "Bacterial small subunit ribosomal RNA", at positions 28 to 507 of the family's 1533-position model. The record is from RNAcentral.
GACGAACGCUGGCGGCGUGCUUAACACAUGCAAGUCGAACGGAAAGGCCCUGCUUUUGUGGGGUGCUCGAGUGGCGAACGGGUGAGUAACACGUGAGUAACCUGCCCUUGACUUUGGGAUAACUUCAGGAAACUGGGGCUAAUACCGGAUAGGAGCUCCUGCUGCAUGGUGGGGGUUGGAAAGUUUCGGCGGUUGGGGAUGGACUCGCGGCUUAUCAGCUUGUUGGUGGGGUAGUGACUUACCAAGGCUUUGACGGGUAGCCGGCCUGAGAGGGUGACCGGCCACAUUGGGACUGAGAUACGGCCCAGACUCCUACGGGAGGCAGCAGUGGGGAAUAAUGCACAAUGGGCGGAAGCCUGAUGCAGCAACGCCGCGUGCGGGAUGACGGCCUUCGGGUUGUAAACCGCUUUCGCCUGUGACGAAGCGUGAGUGACGGUAAUGGGUAAAGAAGCACCGGCUAACUACGUG